RNAcentral lists this ribosomal RNA (482 nucleotides) under uncultured bacterium. RNAcentral describes it as "partial 16S ribosomal RNA". It matches the Rfam family "Bacterial small subunit ribosomal RNA", at positions 30 to 507 of the family's 1533-position model. The record is from RNAcentral.
AUUGAACGCUGGCGGCAUGCCUUACUCAUGCAAGUCGAACGGUAACAGGUCUUCGGAUGCUGACGAGUGGCGAACGGGUGAGUAAUACAUCGGAACGUGCCCGAUCGUGGGGGAUAACGAGGCGAAAGCUUUGCUAAUACCGCAUACGAUCUACGGAUGAAAGCGGGGGAUCUUCGGACCUCGCGCGGACGGAGCGGCCGAUGGCAGAUUAGGUAGUUGGUGGGAUAAAAGCUUACCAAGCCGACGAUCUGUAGCUGGUCUGAGAGGAUGAUCAGCCACACUGGGACUGAGACACGGCCCAGACUCCUACGGGAGGCAGCAGUGGGGAAUUUUGGACAAUGGGCGAAAGCCUGAUCCAGCCAUGCCGCGUGCAGGAUGAAGGCCUUCGGGUUGUAAACUGCUUUUGUACGGAACGAAAAGCCUCUUUCUAAUAAAGAGGGGUCAUGACGGUACCGUAAGAAUAAGCACCGGCUAACUACGUG